This 427-nucleotide ribosomal RNA is filed under the name Cutibacterium acnes. RNAcentral's name for it is "bacterial SSU rRNA". It matches the Rfam family "Bacterial small subunit ribosomal RNA", at positions 28 to 454 of the family's 1533-position model. Lineage: Bacteria; Bacillati; Actinomycetota; Actinomycetes; Propionibacteriales; Propionibacteriaceae. The record is from RNAcentral.
GACGAACGCGGCGGCGUGCUUAACACAUGCAAGUCGAACGGAAAGGCCCUGCUUUUGUGGGGUGCUCGAGUGGCGAACGGGUGAGUAACACGUGAGUAACCUGCCCUUGACUUUGGGAUAACUUCAGGAAACUGGGGCUAAUACCGGAUAGGAGCUCCUGCUGCAUGGUGGGGGUUGGAAAGUUUCGGCGGUUGGGGAUGGACUCGCGGCUUAUCAGCUUGUUGGUGGGGUAGUGGCUUACCAAGGCUUUGACGGGUAGCCGGCCUGAGAGGGUGACCGGCCACAUUGGGACUGAGAUACGGCCCAGACUCCUACGGGAGGCAGCAGUGGGGAAUAUUGCACAAUGGGCGGAAGCCUGAUGCAGCAACGCCGCGUGCGGGAUGACGGCCUUCGGGUUGUAAACCGCUUUCGCCUGUGACGAAGCGUG